This 647-nucleotide ribosomal RNA is filed under the name uncultured bacterium. RNAcentral describes it as "bacterial SSU rRNA". It matches the Rfam family "Bacterial small subunit ribosomal RNA", at positions 110 to 753 of the family's 1533-position model. The record is from RNAcentral.
GUAACAUAUCGGAACGUGCCCAAUCGUGGGGGAUAACGUAGCGAAAGCUACGCUAAUACCGCAUACGAUCUAUGGAUGAAAGCGGGGGAUCGCAAGACCUCGCGCGAUUGGAGCGGCCGAUAUCAGAUUAGGUUGUUGGUGGGGUAAAAGCCCACCAAGCCGACGAUCUGUAGCUGGUCUGAGAGGACGACCAGCCACACUGGGACUGAGACACGGCCCAGACUCCUACGGGAGGCAGCAGUGGGGAAUUUUGGACAAUGGGCGCAAGCCUGAUCCAGCAAUGCCGCGUGCAGGAUGAAGGCCUUCGGGUUGUAAACUGCUUUUGUACGGAGCGAAACGGCUUUCUCUAAUACAGGAAGCUAAUGACGGUACCGUAAGAAUAAGCACCGGCUAACUACGUGCCAGCAGCCGCGGUAAUACGUAGGGUGCUAGCGUUAAUCGGAAUUACUGGGCGUAAAGCGUGCGCAGGCGGUUUUGUAAGACAGAUGUGAAAUCCCCGGGCUCAACCUGGGACCUGCAUUUGUGACUGCAAGGCUAGAGUACGGUAGAGGGGGAUGGAAUUCCGCGUGUAGCAGUGAAAUGCGUAGAUAUGCGGAGGAACACCGAUGGCGAAGGCAAUCCCCUGGACCUGUACUGACGCUCAUGCA